Vulpes vulpes (red fox) is the source of this 151-nucleotide small nucleolar RNA. Lineage: Eukaryota; Metazoa; Chordata; Mammalia; Carnivora; Canidae. The record is from Ensembl.
UCUGCAUGUUUUUAGAGCUUGGAGUUGAGGCUGUUGGCUGGCUGAUGAACUCACAAGUGUAGAUAGUGUGCUAUAUGAGUGGAACGCCUUUCACUAACACAAGAAUCUCUGAUCCAAUGAGUGGAGUUUGAUAGUAGUUAUUGCUACAAUU